This 284-nucleotide long non-coding RNA is filed under the name Panax ginseng (ginseng). RNAcentral describes it as "long non-coding RNA (PGIN_LNC011642)". Lineage: Eukaryota; Viridiplantae; Streptophyta; Magnoliopsida; Apiales; Araliaceae. The record is from RNAcentral.
AGAUAGUGAAAAAAUUGAAUCCCUAUUCUACAGAAUAACCUAAUAACACUGCAGUGUAGGGAUAAAAAUAAAAAAAUUGUUGUAAAUACUCUUAGACUACAUGAUUCCGCGUAAAUAGAUUGAAUUGUUCAACAUAAAAUUGGUACAACACACCUCUCACCUAUAUAUUCCCCUGAUAAUUAUUCCGAUAUGACUAAAAUCUCUUUGGUUUCCACUAGUAUAAUUACAUGCGUUCGUACUAAACGAACUCAAAUCUUGAGCUUUCAGUUUAUUUUGGAUUAAUA